CCCGACCUUCCGCACCAACUUCGCCACCCUCUUCGAAACCAUGGAGGCCCAGAUCGAUGCCGACGGCAAGGCCGACUUCAACAAGCUCAACGACAACACCUCCUUCGAGUGCAUCGGCGAGGUCUACUUCGGCGUCCGGCCCUCCGCCUCCAACCUCGGCACCACAGGCCCCACCAAGGCCGUCAAAUGGCUCCUCUUCCAGCUCGCCCCCCUCACGUCCCUUGGCCUUCCAAAGAUCCUUGAGGAAAUCUUCC
This 254-nucleotide long non-coding RNA is filed under the name Elaeis guineensis (African oil palm). Its description in RNAcentral is "long non-coding RNA (EGUI_LNC005431)". Lineage: Eukaryota; Viridiplantae; Streptophyta; Magnoliopsida; Arecales; Arecaceae. The record is from RNAcentral.